CAGCGCGCGAUGCUACGCAAGCAAGGUGCGGUUCCAUGUCUCGCGAUGGCCCCGACCUCUUCAAAUCUUCAGGCCGUGAAAUCCGACGAGCUGAGAUAUUUGCUGGAGCUUCUUCUCAGACGCAGAUCACCUGUGACGACGUCUUUGGCUGUUCUUGGCCAAAGACGGACUCCGAGGGAUUGGAGUCUGCUGAAAUCCGCUGAAUAUGCUGCCGAGAGCUUGUCUCUCAAAAUAGAAGCUCAGGAAGGUCGCUGACUGCACUUGACAAGGCCCUGCAAGGACGAAAUCGAAGUUAUCCAUCACUGGG
Molecule: long non-coding RNA, 307 nt
Organism: Eucalyptus grandis
Lineage: Eukaryota; Viridiplantae; Streptophyta; Magnoliopsida; Myrtales; Myrtaceae
Exons: 3
Source: RefSeq, a predicted model, not a curated record